Molecule: ribosomal RNA, 301 nt
Filed under: uncultured bacterium
Lineage: Bacteria
Description: partial 16S ribosomal RNA
Rfam family: Bacterial small subunit ribosomal RNA
Source: RNAcentral
CAGCAGCCACGGUAAUACGAAGGGGGCUAGCGUUGUUCGGAUUUACUGGGCGUAAAGGGCGCGUAGGCGGGCUGAUAAGUCGGGGGUGAAAUCCCAAGGCUCAACCUUGGAACUGCCUUUGAUACUGUUGGUCUUGAGUCCGGGAGAGGUGAGUGGAACUGCGAGUGUAGAGGUGAAAUUCGUAGAUAUUCGCAAGAACACCAGUGGCGAAGGCGGCUCACUGGCCCGGAACUGACGCUGAGGCGCGAAAGCGUGGGGAGCAAACAGGAUUAGAUACCCGAGUAGUCCCUGUCUCUUAUAC